This 688-nucleotide unclassified non-coding RNA is filed under the name Hevea brasiliensis (rubber tree). Lineage: Eukaryota; Viridiplantae; Streptophyta; Magnoliopsida; Malpighiales; Euphorbiaceae. The record is from RNAcentral.
GCGGCUAAUAGAAAUAAAAACUUUUCAAACAUUCAGACGUGAAGAAUAUAAAGGCCAAUAAACCUGCAAAAUUGAGCUUACAUAGGGCGGGUGAAGGGGAAAACAACAAAAAGAUUAAUCAUGAAUUCACAGUGAAAGUACCAAGAAAACAUACUUAGCUCAGAGUUUAGUAACCCAGAGGCAGUCAGCUCAGAGUUUGGUAACCCAGAGGCCCCUGCAAACCAUCUUGUCCUGUGUCAUUCCUUCCCAGUAUAGAUGGUAUCCAUGGGAAAAGUUUCCCCAGCUCCUUGCUUAUUGCACUGGGCUUCAGAUGGCUAUCAUUGAUCCCAAACUUCGCUCUUUCGAGAGCUUCCAUUAUAUCUUCCCUUGUUACAGUCACACCACCCCUCCGUGCAGCAAGUAAAGCAGCUUCAUUGACAAUGUUUGCAAGAUCAGCUCCUACAAGACCUGGGGUCAAAGAAGCAACUAGAUCACAUAUGAGAUCUGUGUCUUCUUCUACAGGAACUCCUCUCAAAUGAACAGCCAAGAUCUUUUUCCUUCCUUCUUCAUCAGGUUCUCCUACAAGUACCUUCCUUGAGAAUCGACCAGGCCUACAAAGGGCAGGAUCCAGUGCUUCUCGUCUGUUAGUUGCUGCAACAACAACCACUUUCAUAUCCGACUCAAAUCCAUCCAUUUCUGUCAGCAACUG